Molecule: ribosomal RNA, 770 nt
Filed under: uncultured bacterium
Lineage: Bacteria
Description: bacterial SSU rRNA
Rfam family: Bacterial small subunit ribosomal RNA
Source: RNAcentral
ACUGACGCUGAGGAGCGAAAGCGUGGGUAGCGAACAGGAUUAGAUACCCUGGUAGUCCACGCCGUAAACGUUGGGCACUAGGUGUGGGAUCUUUCCAACGGAUUCCGUGCCGUAGCUAACGCAUUAAGUGCCCCGCCUGGGGAGUACGGCCGCAAGGCUAAAACUCAAAGGAAUUGACGGGGGUCCGCACAAGCGGCGGAGCAUGUUGCUUAAUUCGAGGCAACGCGAAGAACCUUACCUGGGCUUGACAUGCUGGGAAAAGCCACAGAGAUGUGGUGUCCUUCGGGGCCCAGCACAGGUGGUGCAUGGCUGUCGUCAGCUCGUGUCGUGAGAUGUUGGGUUAAGUCCCGCAACGAGCGCAACCCUUAUCCUAUGUUGCCAGCGCGUAAUGGCGGGGACUCGUGGGAGACUGCCGGGGUCAACUCGGAGGAAGGUGGGGACGACGUCAAGUCAUCAUGCCCCUUAUGUCCAGGGCUGCAAACAUGCUACAAUGGCCGGUACAAAGGGCUGCUAUACCGCGAGGUGGAGCGAAUCCCAUAAAGCCGGUCUCAGUUCGGAUUGAAGUCUGCAACUCGACUUCAUGAAGCUGGAGUCGCUAGUAAUCCCGGAUCAGCAACGCCGGGGUGAAUACGUUCCCGGGCCUUGUACACACCGCCCGUCACACCACGAAAGUCGGCAACACCCGAAGUCAGUGGCCCAACCCGCAAGGGAGGGAGCUGCCGAAGGUGGGGUCAGCGAUUGGGGUGAAGUCGUAACAAGGUAACCAAGGG